Molecule: non-coding RNA, 24 nt
Filed under: Cricetulus griseus (Chinese hamster)
Lineage: Eukaryota; Metazoa; Chordata; Mammalia; Rodentia; Cricetidae
Source: RNAcentral
UCAAAGUGACUGGAACAAAAAAGG